AUCGUCAUUGCUGCGGUUAAAAAGCUCGUAGUUGGAUCUUAGUUACGUACUUUGAUUCGCCUUUGGCGUUAAUCAUUGUCGUGACUAUUUUGUUGGUUUUCUGUUGGUGGCUUCGGCUCCUUCAGUGGCUAGCGAGUUUACUUUGAAUAAAUUAGAGUGCUCAAAACAAGCGUUUGCUUGAAUGCUCGAUCAUGGAAUAAUAAAAGAGGACUUCGGUUCUAUUUGUUGGUUCAGGUAACUGAAUUAAUGGUUAAGAGGGACAACUCGGGGGCAUUCGUAUCCCUGCGCGAGAGGUGAAAUUCGUGGACCGCAGGGGGACGCCCUAAAGCGAAAGCAUUUGCCAAGAAUGUCUUCAUUAAUCAAGAACGAAAGUCAGAGGUUCGAAGGCGAUUAGAUACCGCCCUAGUUCUGACCGUAAACUAUGCCAUCUAGCGAUCCAAUGGGGUAUUGUAGCCUUGUUGGGGAGCUUCCCGGAAACGAAAGUCUUUCGGUUCCUGGGGUAGUAUGGUUGCAAAGCUGAAACUUAAAGAAAUUGACGGAAGGGCACCACCAGGAGUGGAGCCUGCGGCUUAAUUUGACUCAACACGGGAAAACUCACCCGGCCCGGACACCGUUAGGAUUGACAGAUUGAAAGCUCUUUCUCGAUUUGGUGGUUGGUGGUGCAUGGCCGUUCUUAGUUGGUGGAGCGAUUUGUCUGGUUUAUUCCGAUAACGAGCGAGACUCUAGCCUGCUAAAUAGUGUCCAGAUAUAUAAGUCUGGCUUACUUCUUAGAGGGAUAAGCGGUGUUUAGCCGCACGAGAUUGAGCGAUAACAGGUCUGUGAUGCCCUUAGAUGUUCGGGGCUGCACGCGCGCUACACUGGAAGAAUCAGCUGGUCCUUCCAUUGCCGAAAGGUAUUGGUAAACCGUUGAAACUCUUCCGUGACCGGGAUAGGGAAUUGUAAUUAUUUCCCUUGAACGAGGAAUUCCUAGUAAGUGUGAGUCAUCAGCUCACGUUGA
This 997-nucleotide ribosomal RNA is filed under the name Heterorhabditis bacteriophora. Its description in RNAcentral is "SSU rRNA". It matches the Rfam family "Eukaryotic small subunit ribosomal RNA", at positions 603 to 1644 of the family's 1831-position model. Lineage: Eukaryota; Metazoa; Nematoda; Chromadorea; Rhabditida; Heterorhabditidae. The record is from RNAcentral.